UACGUAGGUGGCAAGCGUUGUCCGGAAUUACUGGGUGUAAAGCGCGUGGUAGGCGGCAGACCAAGUCGGCGGUGAAAGCGCCCGGCUCAACUGGGCGAGGUCCGUGGAAACUGGGUCAGCUGGAGGACGGUAGAGGCGAGUGGAAUUCCCGGUGUAGUGGUGAAAUGCGUAGAGAUCGGGAGGAACACCUGUGGCGAAGGCGGCUCGCUGGGCCGGUCCUGACGCUGAGACGCGAAGGCGUGGGGAGCGAACGGG
Molecule: ribosomal RNA, 255 nt
Filed under: uncultured bacterium
Lineage: Bacteria
Description: partial 16S ribosomal RNA
Rfam family: Bacterial small subunit ribosomal RNA
Source: RNAcentral